This 73-nucleotide transfer RNA is filed under the name Zingiber officinale. It matches the Rfam family "tRNA". Rfam says of the family: Transfer RNA (tRNA) molecules are approximately 80 nucleotides in length. Their secondary structure includes four short double-helical elements and three loops (D, anti-codon, and T loops). Lineage: Eukaryota; Viridiplantae; Streptophyta; Magnoliopsida; Zingiberales; Zingiberaceae. The record is from Rfam by way of RNAcentral.
GCGGCGAUAGCUCAGUUGGGAGAGCGUUAGAUUGAAGAUUUGAAGGUCGUGUGUUUGACCCACACUCAUUGCA